Molecule: ribosomal RNA, 253 nt
Filed under: uncultured bacterium
Lineage: Bacteria
Description: partial 16S ribosomal RNA
Rfam family: Bacterial small subunit ribosomal RNA
Source: RNAcentral
UACGUAGGGUGCAAGCGUUAUCCGGAAUUAUUGGGCGUAAAGAGCUCGUAGGCGGUUUGUCGCGUCUGCUGUGAAAACCGGAGGCUCAACCUCCGGCCUGCAGUGGGUACGGGCAAACUAGAGUGCGGUAGGGGAGAUUGGAAUUCCUGGUGUAGCGGUGGAAUGCGCAGAUAUCAGGAGGAACACCGAUGGCGAAGGCAGUGUUCUGGGCCAGUACUGACGCUGAGGAGCGAAAGCGUGGGGAGCAAACAGG